AACGACUGCUAAGACUGGAUAGGAAACAAAAAGGCAUCUUUUUGUUUUUAAAAGACCUUCUUAGAAAGGUAUGCUUAAAGAGGGGCUUGCGCCACAUUAGUUAGUUGGUAGAGUAAAAGCCUACCAAGACGAUGAUGUGUAGCUGGACUGAGAGGUUGAACAGCCACAUUGGGACUGAGACACGGCCCAAACUCCUACGGGAGGCAGCAGUAGGGAAUUUUCGGCAAUGGAGGAAACUCUGACCGAGCAACGCCGCGUGAACGAUGAAGUAUUUCGGUAUGUAAAGUUCUUUUAUUGAAGAAGAAAAAGUAGUGGAAAAACUAUAUUGACGUUAUUCAAUGAAUAAGCCCCGGCUAACUAUGUGCCAGCAGCCGCGGUAAGACAUAGGGGGCGAGCGUUAUCCGGAAUUAUUGGGCGUAAAGGGUGCGUAGGCUGUUAGAUAAGUCUAUAAUUUAAUUUCAGUGCUUAACGCUGUCUUGUUAUAGAAACUGUCUUGACUAGAGUGAGAUAGAGGCAAGCGGAAUUCCAUGUGUAGCGGUAAAAUGUGUAAAUAUAUGGAGGAACACCAGAAGCGUAGGCGGCUUGCUGGGUCUUUACUGACGCUGAGGCACGAAAGCGUGGGUAGCAAACAGGAUUAGAUACCCUGGUAGUCCACGCCGUAAACGAUGAGUACUAAGUGUCGGGGUAAAACUCGGUACUGAAGUUAACACAUUAAGUACUCCGCCUGAGUAGUACGUACGCAAGUAUGAAACUUAAAGGAAUUGACGGGACUCCGCACAAGCGGUGGAUCAUGUUGUUUAAUUCGAAGAUACACGAAAAAUCUUACCAGGUCUUGACAUACUCUGCAAAGCUAUAGAAAUAUAGUGGAGGUUAUCAGGAAUACAGGUGGUGCAUGGUUGUCGUCAGUUCGUGUCGUGAGAUGUUAGGUUAAGUCCUAAAACGAGCGCAACCCUUGUCGUUAAUUGCCAGCACGUAAUGGUGGGGACUUUAACAAGACUGCCAAUUAAACAUUGGAGGAAGGUGAGGAUUACGUCAAAUCAUCAUGCCCCUUAUGAUCUGGGCUACAAACGUGAUACAAUGGCUGUGACAAAGAGUAGCUGAAACGCGAGUUUUUAGCCAAUCUCAAAAAAGCAGUCUCAGUUCGGAUUGAAGUCUGUAACUCGACUUCAUGAAGUUGGAAUCGCUAGUAAUCGCGAAUCAGCAUGUCGCGGUGAAUACGUUCUCGGGGUUUGUACACGCCGCC
Molecule: ribosomal RNA, 1243 nt
Filed under: Candidatus Phytoplasma trifolii
Lineage: Bacteria; Bacillati; Mycoplasmatota; Mollicutes; Acholeplasmatales; Acholeplasmataceae
Description: bacterial SSU rRNA
Rfam family: Bacterial small subunit ribosomal RNA
Source: RNAcentral